GACGAACGCUGGCGGCGUGCUUAAUACAUGCAAGUCGAACGGAAAGACCCUGCUCUUGUGGGGCGCACGUGUGGCGAACGCGUGAGUAACACGUGAGUAUCCUGUACCUGUAUUAGGGAUAACUUUAGGAAACUGGGGCUAUUACAGGAUAGGAGCUCUUGCUGCAUGGUGGGGGUUGGAAAGUUUCGGCGGUUGUGGAUGGUUUGGCGGCUUAUCAGCUAGUUGGUGGGGUAGUGGCUUACAAAGGCUUUGACGGGUAGCCGGCCUGAGAGGGUGACCAGCCACAUUGGGCCUGAGGUACGGCGCAGACUGCUACGGGAGGCAGCAGGGGGGAGUAUGACGCAACGGGGGGAAGCCAGAUGCAGCGACGCCGCGUGCGUGAUAACGGCCUUCUGGUGAUAAACCGCUUUCUCCUGAGACGAAGCGGGAGUGACGGUAAUGGGUAAAGAAGCACCGGCUAACUACGUG
RNAcentral lists this ribosomal RNA (468 nucleotides) under uncultured bacterium. RNAcentral's name for it is "partial 16S ribosomal RNA". It matches the Rfam family "Bacterial small subunit ribosomal RNA", at positions 28 to 507 of the family's 1533-position model. The record is from RNAcentral.